Solanum pennellii is the source of this 726-nucleotide long non-coding RNA. RefSeq lists it as uncharacterized. The transcript has 4 exons. Lineage: Eukaryota; Viridiplantae; Streptophyta; Magnoliopsida; Solanales; Solanaceae. The record is from RefSeq and is a predicted model, not a curated record.
UUUCUUUGUUCCUUUUAACGGAUCAUCCCUAUUUCUUUGGUCCUUUCCAUUCAACACGUGUAAGUGCGCUACUUUUUCAUCAAACCACGUGUAACCUCAAGGCCUCACCAUCACCCCUCAAAGAGAAAAAUUGAGUCUCAGUGCUUCGAUGAUUCAGAUUUCGAAGAUAUUGACAAAAUUCAGCCCAGAAGAGAAGCUGAGUUUGGUGCCAAAUGGAUUCAAUGGAGAUUUCAAUCAUUGAUAUUCCUAUUGGGGUUGUGGUAGAAUUAUCCUUAUGCUGAAGUCAAUUUAUUUUGUCCUGGGGCUAUUGUUUAAGACUUGGUAGCACUAAACACACAAGGAGGAGGAGAGGAAAACCAAACUUUUUAUUAUUUAUCACAACAGAGAAUGACAAAAGACACAAUGGUUAGAACAUGUCUACUUCAACUAAUGCUACAGUAAUAUUGUAAAUAUGGUGAAAAUAAGUUGAUAUGUGUGAGAUAAUCUAUAUUAUAAAAUAACAAACUAUAACCUCCAUUUACUACAUAUCGGGUUGCUUGGUCCCGCCUUGAAGAAAGAUUCUCUUAUUAUGAAUGUAUUUUAUUUUGCUCAACAUAUAUUAUUUACUUUUUAAAUAUUCCUAUUCCCACUUGGUAUAAGUGAUACAAUCUGAGAGUCAUACUAUUGGCUCGGAAUAUUGACAUUUAAAAUGUAAAAUAUCUGUUACGAUAUUUUGUUUUUUUUGUG